Molecule: ribosomal RNA, 253 nt
Filed under: uncultured bacterium
Lineage: Bacteria
Description: partial 16S ribosomal RNA
Rfam family: Bacterial small subunit ribosomal RNA
Source: RNAcentral
GACAGAGGGUGCAAACGUUGUUCGGAAUUACUGGGCGUAAAGCGUGUGUAGGCGGCCUUAUAAGUCGGAUGUGAAAGCCCAGGGCUCAACCCUGGAAGUGCACCCGAUACUGUAAGGCUCGAGUACUGGAGAGGUUGGUGGAAUUCUCGGUGUAGAGGUGAAAUUCGUAGAUAUCGAGAGGAACACCGGUGGCGAAGGCGGCCAACUGGACAGAUACUGACGCUGAGACACGAAAGCGUGGGGAGCAAACAGG